CGGUACGUACUGGCAUUGUUGGUUUUCUCCCUUUCUGACGAACCAUGAUGUCCAUUUAUUUGGUGUUGUGGGGAAUCAGGACUGUUACUUUGAAAAAAUUAGAGCGUUUAAAGCAGGCUCACGCUUGAAUACAUUAGCAUGGGAUAAUGAAAUAGGACGUCUGAUUCUAUUUUGUUGGUUUCUAGGAUCGACGUAAUGACUAAUAGGGAUAGUUGGGGGCAUUAGUAUUCAAUUGUCAGAGGUGAAAUUCUUGGAUUUAUUGAAGACUAACUACUGCGAAAGCAUUUGCCAAGGAUGUUUUCAUUAAUCAAGAACGAAAGUUAGGGGAUCGAAGACGAUCAGAUACCGUCGUAGUCUUAACCAUAAACUAUGCCGACUAGGGAUCGGAUGAUGUUAAUUUUUUAAUGACUCAUUCGGCGCCUUACG
This 426-nucleotide ribosomal RNA is filed under the name uncultured Glomeromycotina. RNAcentral's name for it is "SSU rRNA". It matches the Rfam family "Eukaryotic small subunit ribosomal RNA", at positions 668 to 1092 of the family's 1831-position model. The record is from RNAcentral. Lineage: Eukaryota; Fungi; Glomeromycota.